This is an RNA transcript of Amblyraja radiata (thorny skate), 2290 nucleotides long. It is a transcript of the gene named leucine rich repeat containing 57, with no coding region annotated. The record is from RefSeq and is a predicted model, not a curated record. NCBI's taxonomy places the organism in Eukaryota, Metazoa, Chordata, Chondrichthyes, Rajiformes, Rajidae. The transcript is spliced from 6 exons.
GCCCAUAGCGCCCGCCGGAUGUGUCGUCAACGGGCUUCCGGACGGCGCUCGGGCCUUGGCCCUGGAGACGGGAGGAACGGCCGCGGGUCCAGUGUUGGACAGAGUUCUCACCUUAAGCAGAACUGGAUGUGAAUGGCCAUUGAGAAAAUUAUUUAUUUUCUCGGAUUGUAGCGGUUUUACCAUGGGGAACAGUGCGCUGAAAGCUCACCUGGAAACUGCACAGAAGACGGGCGUGUUCCAGCUCACAGGGAAAGGCCUGAAUGAGUUCCCCAUGGACCUGCAGAGACUGUCAACAAAUUUGAGAAUGGUGGAUCUUUCGGGAAACAAGAUGGAGACCUUGCCUUCUGUCAUUGGGCAGUUUUCAGUACUGAAGAGCCUGACUCUCAACAGCAAUAGAUUGGCUGUUCUUCCUGAGGAUUUGGGCAAGCUGAAGAAACUGGAGAAUCUUCACCUCAAUGGUAACUCACUGAAAAAUCUCCCUUCCAGCUUCGGGCAGCUGGCAGCCCUGAAGACCCUGAGUCUCUCUGGGAACCGGCUGAAGGAGUUUCCACUCCAGCUAUGUCAACUCCGACACCUGGAUGUGGUGGAUCUGUCCAAGAACAAAAUCCAACGUCUCCCAGAUGAAGUGGAGCAGCUGCAGGCCAUUGAGCUCAAUGUCAACCAGAACCAGGUUUCUCAGAUCUCGCCACACAUCUCCCGCUGUCCGCGACUGAAGGUGCUGCGGUUGGAGGAGAACUGUUUGGAAAUCUCCAUGAUCCCCAACAGCAUCCUGGCCGAUUCCCAGAUCUCCCUGCUGGCUGUUGAGGGAAAUCUUUUUGAAAUCAGGAAACUGCAAGAGUUGGAGGGUUACGACAAGGUUGGUCAGGGUGACGUGGACAAAGUUGUAAUGGCCAUGUGAAGCAGGGGGAGCUGCUGCUUGAGGCCGGUGUUCCCGGUGGUUGCAAGAAGUGGAGACAGAGAGAUGAGACCAUGAAUUCACCAGUCACAUUGUUUGCUCGAUUGAUUUGUUCUAUACUAAGAAUUGCAUUAUCCUAACCUCUCCGUGUACUUCCACAUCCAUUCUUCUAAAUACUCCCUAAAUGCAUUUUAAUCCCAAGCAUGUUUAUCCCACUUUUUCACUCACACAUAUUCCCAUUAUAAUCUGAAGAAGGGUUUCGGCCCGAAACGUCGCCUAUUUCCUUCGCUCCAUAGAUGCUGCUGCACCCGCUGAAUUUCUCCAGCAUUUUUGUGUACCUUCCCAUUAUAAUCCCUUUCUUGUACACUUCAAUUUCUCACCAAUUCCACAACUUGCUUUUACUUUCUACCUCCUAACAUUCCAUUUUCCCUCCAGUAUCCCACCCCCGUGAGCAGGCACUGAACGAGCAUGGUGGUGUUGCAUCAGGUCGGGAGCUGGGGAGUGCUGCACUGUCCUGAUGAGGUAGUUGUGGUACUGCUGCCAUCUGACCCAUGAUUGUUCUUUUCUCCUUUCAGUACAUGGAACGUUUUACAGCAACAAAGAAGAAAUUUGCAUAAUGAACAUGCUGGUGAAAGAAUGCUUCGUCCGUGGGUCAGCAGGCAGACUAGCCUAGGAAUGGCUGGCUAUACAGCGGUAGUACUUGUUAGUCCAUAAGUGGACGUACCCCUGAUGGACUGGAGGAGAAAUGAACAUUUCCUUGCCUGUUUGAAGCUGAUAGUCUUAUGCAGUACUAAAUGCUCUAGUUUAAGCUGCUGUUCAAUGAGGGCCUGAGCUCUACUCACUCCAAAUAAGCUACUGCUGUUGCACAAUUGAUCUCUUCAACAUUUUUGCACACUACAUUGCGGGGUGGAAUCGUACAAUAGUCCUUACUCUGUAACUGUUGGAGUUUAACCUCGGCAGAAAUCUGGUUGUAGCAGUUUCUGUGCUGUCACAGCUGUUUUAAGCUCUAAUUGCAACCAUAUUCACUGGUCUUAACUUUUGCUGAUGGGAAAGGCCACUGCUUGUGUUAUUUAGAAGAGCAGUUUGUAUAACAUAUUUUGCAUAUAAAAUGUUCUGUUCAUCUAUUUUGAUGUGAUUUGAUGUAAUAAGGGAAAUAAGGUAAAAGUUUCUCCUGAACCAAUCCGAGCCCAAUCCCCCACUUUGGGAUUGGGACGCGACAAUCCUUAACUAUAUUUCAAUUACCAUGACUACAUUUCGAGAAUAGACAUCUUAAUUAAAAAAAAAAGAAAUGAGGCUGUUAAAGAUGAAAGCUUUAAAGUUGUGAUCACAUUUCGCAUUAAACAUUAUUUCCCAAUGUACUCAGUUGGAAACAAAUGAUUAAAUGUACAAUAUAUA